CUAUAAAUACAGGAUCUCUUCUAUUUCUCGUUCUGCGUCUCUUAUGUCCUAUCUAUGAGGUCUGGUCCAUCUAGGUCUUAAUCUUCGAAUUCUUUUCCAUGUCCAGGCGCAAUUUGCAACCGUUUUUUGUUUGGGAUCCCGAAGAGGAAUUAGGGUUCAGGCCGCUGGAUAUUUGUUCUACGUGGAUGUCUUGUUUUCGGGUUUGACGAUCUUCUUUUGGAUCCGAUGUGAAUGUUUUCCAAAGCUGAAAGAUCCCCAAGCACCUCUUUUCUGCAUAUUUGAAUCACAAAGUGAUGCAGCCAUAUACCAUGACACGGAAUUUUUUUUGUAUGGUAACGGUAGGAUGAGGAGGAAGGGCAAGAAAGAAAGAGGGUGAGAUGUGAAAAUUAUAAGUUAUGCACAUCGGAUGACAGUUGUCUCGUGUUGUUCUGAUAUGACCUUUGCCAUGUCAGGUGCGCUUGCAUGGCAGGUCAAAUAACCUAAUAAAAUUAUUCAGUUUUUUGGUUUUUCUGGGGGAUGGCACGGCGUAUGUCGCCGGCUCCCCCACUUGGUGUGUGUCGCCCAUCUCUCUCUAUCUCUUUUCCUUGUCCUGGCACGCCACCAUCAAUUGGCCAUUCUCACUUGGACUGAUUGGAUUUCGGUCCUACCUCCGAAUCUCCGAUCGAAUAACUUGUGUGGUUAAAUGCCGAGGCCUCUUCAUACUCAUCGUGAAUGGUGUCAUGCCAAGAAAGUAUAUAGGCCAAUGUUCUUCAUUAAUAUUUCAUAACAUCAUAUGAGCCAAUGUUCUUCGUAGUUUUUGGGCUAUAUCACGAAGAAAUGUUUAUUUGAUGGCAUUCUUACAACCACAAAUUCGUUCUCAGCAAAGUUACGGUUUCCAUAACACUGCCCAUUUAACACAAUUAACAUUUUCCCCCUCGAUGCAUUGUGAUUCAUUCCAUUGUUGGGCUUACAGAAUCGUUAUAAAUAUCAGUAAUAUACAAUUUUGCUGGUAUACUGGCGAGUAUGCAUUUAAAAUCUUGGACCAUUGUUAAAAAUCUUGGACCAUUGUUUGAAAUACUACUAUUUGUAGCUUCAAUCGCAAAGUUUUGGUGGUUGGUUUGGGUUUGGAUAGCUCCAUAUUUGAGUUUGUUGUAACAUUUGUUUCAGGGGCUGUUUGUUUUCAACAUAUCUUUAUAUCUUGUCAAAGAGGUUGUUCAUUAAAUAUUUUCUUGAGGAUAGCCAUUCCAGUUGGAGUUGCUUAAAAAAUUUUCAGAAUUCUGCUUGGAAUUUGUGUAUAUGGUUGUGUUUGUUUUACCGUCAAGACAAGAUGAGUUUCAAUGAAGAAAACUAGUGGUUCUCACAAUCAUGGUAAUUACUUCUAAAUUUAUUGUUACUUGAAUAUUUGGUCUGUUUAUUCUGGUUACUGUUUCAAUGCAGGCACAUGAGCUAUUUGUAAUGAUGGGUUUAGAUGCAUUCUAUAUGCUGCAGCAGCAGAUGGUCUAUUGUAAGUGUUUACAGUUGUUGUCAUGUGGUUUCUAAGUCGUUGGAUUAACAAUUCAGACUAAAGAUUGAAAUGACAUAAAUGGCCAUGAAGCAUGGUGUCAGCAAUUUAAUUUACAAA
Long non-coding RNA from Vitis riparia (riverbank grape), 1600 nucleotides. RefSeq lists it as uncharacterized. The record is from RefSeq and is a predicted model, not a curated record. NCBI's taxonomy places the organism in Eukaryota, Viridiplantae, Streptophyta, Magnoliopsida, Vitales, Vitaceae. The transcript is spliced from 2 exons.